RNAcentral lists this ribosomal RNA (401 nucleotides) under Enterobacter hormaechei. RNAcentral's name for it is "partial 23S ribosomal RNA". It matches the Rfam family "Bacterial large subunit ribosomal RNA", at positions 1 to 442 of the family's 2925-position model. Lineage: Bacteria; Pseudomonadati; Pseudomonadota; Gammaproteobacteria; Enterobacterales; Enterobacteriaceae. The record is from RNAcentral.
GGUUAAGCGACUAAGCGUACACGGUGGAUGCCCUGGCAGUCAGAGGCGAUGAAGGACGUGCUAAUCUGCGAAAAGCGACGGCGAGGUGAUAUGAACCUUUGACCCGUCGAUGUCCGAAUGGGGAAACCCAGUGUGUUCCGACACACUAUCGUUAACUGAAUACAUAGGUUAACGAGGCGAACCGGGGGAACUGAAACAUCUAAGUACCCCGAGGAAAAGAAAUCAACCGAGAUUCCCCCAGUAGCGGCGAGCGAACGGGGAGCAGCCCGGAGUCUGAAUCAGCUUGUGUGUUAGUGGAACGGUCUGGAAAGUCCGACGGUACAGGGUGAUAGUCCCGUACACGAAAAUGCACAGGUUGUGAACUCGAAGAGUAGGGCGGGACACGUGGUAUCCUGUCUGAA